This is a long non-coding RNA of Canis lupus familiaris (dog), 616 nucleotides long. RefSeq lists it as uncharacterized. The transcript is spliced from 3 exons. Lineage: Eukaryota; Metazoa; Chordata; Mammalia; Carnivora; Canidae. The record is from RefSeq and is a predicted model, not a curated record.
UCUCCUUCUCUAGCCAAGAAACGUCUUCAGUCAGUUCUUCCUCAAUCUCCAGCUUCCAGCUACAUCUUAAUACUCUACAGAGAUGCAACAUGCCCAUGACAAUGACAACUUUUAUAUGGUCCCCGCGGAGGAGCUGGUUGCCUUGGGAAUGGACAGAGACCAUGGAGCUCUAGGAGCAGGCUCUGCGAUUUACAACAGAUUUACAACAUCAGGAAAUACGGAAUUAUUUGAAGGUGAAGGUCACGAUGUCUGCAACCUGUUCUGAAAUGGUCUAACAUUAUUCACAACAGCAAUAAUAAAUAUAUAUGGAAGAAAUCAAAUAUGGAAAAAUAGUCACAGUUAGUAAUCUAUGUUAAAAGUAUAUGGAAGUUCAUUGUAUUAUUCUUUCACUGAACCUGUUUGAAAUUCUAAAAAAAAAAAAAAAGGAAUUUAAAUAUUAAAAAAAACAAGUUAGAAAAUAAAUAAAAUCUUAAAAAAAAAAAAAAAAACAAGUUAGUGUGAUCCUAAUUCCAUUUGGCACGAUGAUGAAAAAUUCAGUCUUACUCAUUUAUGGGAGCAGUUCGCUCCUCCUCAGGGGUUUUACAUAGUGCAAAACAUUCAGGAAGGGCACUCUAGC